RNAcentral lists this ribosomal RNA (253 nucleotides) under uncultured bacterium. Its description in RNAcentral is "partial 16S ribosomal RNA". It matches the Rfam family "Bacterial small subunit ribosomal RNA", at positions 524 to 776 of the family's 1533-position model. The record is from RNAcentral.
UACGUAGGUGGCAAGCGUUGUUCGGAAUUAUUGGGCGUAAAGGGCGCGUAGGCGGUUUGUUAAGUCGGUCGUGAAAGCCCGGGGCUCAACCCCGGAGGGUCGACCGAUACUGGCAGACUAGAGUACAGAAGAGGUAACUGGAAUUCCCGGUGUAGCGGUGAAAUGCGUAGAGAUCGGCAGGAACACCAGUGGCGAAGGCGGUCUCCUGGGGCAUUCUUGACGCUGAGGCGCGAAAGCUGGGGGAGCGAACGGG